This 494-nucleotide ribosomal RNA is filed under the name uncultured bacterium. RNAcentral's name for it is "partial 16S ribosomal RNA". It matches the Rfam family "Bacterial small subunit ribosomal RNA", at positions 28 to 507 of the family's 1533-position model. The record is from RNAcentral.
GACGAACGCUGGCGGCGUGCUUAACACAUGCCAGUCGAACGGUGAAGCGCCUUCCUUUUUGGUGGGUGUGGAUGAGUGGCGAACGGGUGAGUAACACGUGAGUAACCCGCCCCCUUCUUCUGGAUAACCGCAUGAAAGUGUGGCUAAUACGGGAUAUUCUGGGUCUGUCGCAUGAUGGGUCUGGGAAAGAUAUUGUUUCGGUGGGGGAUGGGCUCGCGGCCUAUCAGCUUGUUGGUGGGGUGAUGGCCUACCAAGGCGGUGACGGGUAGCCGGCCUGAGAGGGUGGACGGUCACACUGGGACUGAGACACGGCCCAGACUCCUACGGGAGGCAGCAGUGGGGAAUAUUGCACAAUGGGCGCAAGCCUGAUGCAGCGACGCCGCGUGAGGGAUGGAGGCCUUCGGGUUGUGAACCUCUUUCGCCAGUGAAGCAGGCCUGCCUCGUUUGUGGGUGGGUUGACGGUAGCUGGAUAAGAAGCGCCGGCUAACUACGUG